CCAAUAGCGUAUAUUAAAGUUGUUGCAGUUAAAAAGCUCGUAGUUGAAUUUCGGGAUCAAGGGAUCGGUCAUGCCUUGGUAUGUACUGGUUUCAUUGGUUCUCACCUUCUAAAGAACCAUGAUGUCAUUCAUUUGAUGUUAUGGGGAAUUAGGACUGUUACCUUGAAAAAAUUAGAGUGUUUAAAGCAGGCUUUACGCUUGAAUACAUUAGCAUGGAAUAAUGAAAUAGGACAUCCGAUUCUAUUUUGUUGGUUUCUAGGAUCGAUGUAAUGAUUAAUAGGGAUAGUUGGGGGCAUUAGUAUUCAAUUGUCAGAGGUGAAAUUCUUGGAUUUAUUGAAGACUAACUACUGCGAAAGCAUUUGCCAAGGAUGUUUUCAUUAAUCAAGAACGAAAGUUAGGGGAUCGAAGACGAUCAGAUACCGUCGUAGUCUUAACCAUAAACUAUGCCGACUAGGGAUCGGAUGAUGUUAAUUUUAUAAUGACUCAUUCGGCACCUUACG
RNAcentral lists this ribosomal RNA (500 nucleotides) under uncultured Glomeromycotina. Its description in RNAcentral is "partial small subunit ribosomal RNA". It matches the Rfam family "Eukaryotic small subunit ribosomal RNA", at positions 591 to 1092 of the family's 1831-position model. The record is from RNAcentral. Lineage: Eukaryota; Fungi; Glomeromycota.